Molecule: ribosomal RNA, 253 nt
Filed under: uncultured bacterium
Lineage: Bacteria
Description: partial 16S ribosomal RNA
Rfam family: Bacterial small subunit ribosomal RNA
Source: RNAcentral
UACGGAGGGUGCAAGCAUUGAUCGGAAUUACUGGGCGUAAAGGGCGCGUAGGCGGCCGUAAAAGUCAGAUGUGAAAUUCCGGGGCUCAACCCCGGAGCUGCAUUUGAAACUCUACGGCUAGAGGAUAGUAAGGGAAAACGGAAUUCCACGUGUAGCGGUGAAAUGCGUAGAUAUGUGGAAGAACACCGGUGGUGAAGACGGUUUUCUGUGCUAAACCAGACGCUGAGGCGCGAAAGCUAGGGGAGCAAACAGG